AUUGAUAGAACUUUGGCCCAAAG
This 23-nucleotide non-coding RNA is filed under the name Cricetulus griseus (Chinese hamster). The record is from RNAcentral. Lineage: Eukaryota; Metazoa; Chordata; Mammalia; Rodentia; Cricetidae.